Molecule: ribosomal RNA, 1250 nt
Filed under: Candidatus Phytoplasma phoenicium
Lineage: Bacteria; Bacillati; Mycoplasmatota; Mollicutes; Acholeplasmatales; Acholeplasmataceae
Description: bacterial SSU rRNA
Rfam family: Bacterial small subunit ribosomal RNA
Source: RNAcentral
GAAACAGUUGCUAAGACUGGAUAGGAAAUUAAAAGGCAUCUUUUAAUUUUUAAAAGACCUUUUUCGGAAGGUAUGCUUAAAGAGGGGCUUGCGCCACAUUAGUUAGUUGGUAAGGUAAAGGCUUACCAAGACGAUGAUGUGUAGCUGGACUGAGAGGUUGAACAGCCACAUUGGGACUGAGACACGGCCCAAACUCCUACGGGAGGCAGCAGUAAGGAAUUUUUGGCAAUGGAGGAAACUCUGACCGAGCGACGCCGCGUGAACAAUGAAGUACUUCGGUAUGUAAAGUUCUUUUAUUGAAAAAGAAAAAAUAGUGGAAAAACUAUCUUGACAUUAUUCAAUGAAUAAGCCCCGGCUAAUUAUGUGCCAGCAGCCGCGGUAAUACAUAAGGGGCGAGCGUUAUCCGGAAUUAUUGGGCGUAAAGGGUGCGUAGGCGGUUUGAUAAGUCUAUAGUUUAAUUGCAGUGCUUAACGCUGUACCGCUAUAGAAACUGUCUGACUAGAGUUAGAUAGAGGCAAGCGGAAUUCCAUGUGUAGCGGUAAAAUGCGUAAAUAUAUGGAGGAACACCAGAGGCGUAGGCGGCUUGCUGGGUCUUAACUGACGCUGAGGCACGAAAGCGUGGGGAGCAAACAGGAUUAGAUACCCUGGUAGUCCACGCCGUAAACGAUGAGUACUAAGUGUCGGGUUUUGGCUCGGUACUGAAGUUAACACGUUAAGUACUCCGCCUGAGUAGUACGUACGCAAGUAUGAAACUUAAAGGAAUUGACGGGACCCCGCACAAGCGGUGGAUCAUGUUGUUUAAUUCGAAGAUACACGAAAAACCUUACCAGGUCUUGACAUAAUUUUGCGACAUUAUAGAAAUAUAAUGAAGGUUAUCAGAAUUACAGGUGGUGCAUGGUUGUCGUCAGCUCGUGUCGUGAGAUGUUAGGUUAAGUCCUAAAACGAGCGCAACCCUUGUCGUUAGUUGCGACCACAUAAUGGUGAGCACUUUAGCGAGACUGCCAAUGAAAAAUUGGAGGAAGGUGAGGAUUACGUCAAAUCAUCAUGCCCCUUAUGAUCUGGGCUACAAACGUGAUACAAUGGCUUUUACAAAGAGUAGCUACAACGUGAGUUUUUAGCCAAUCUCAAAAAAACAGUCUCAGUUCGGAUUGAAGUCUGCAACUCGACCUCAUGAAGUUGGAAUCGCUAGUAAUCGCGAAUCAGCAUGUCGCGGUGAAUACGUUCUCGGGGUUUGUACACACCGCCCGUCA